UCGCUGUGAUGACGAUUUUUCCUGCCAUUCGUAGUUUCCACCUGAGGUCAUGUGACCAAAGACGGCUUAAUACUUCCUUGGAUGUCUGAGCGA
Molecule: small nucleolar RNA, 93 nt
Organism: Hippocampus comes (tiger tail seahorse)
Lineage: Eukaryota; Metazoa; Chordata; Actinopteri; Syngnathiformes; Syngnathidae
Gene: SNORD14
Rfam family: Small nucleolar RNA SNORD14
About the family: U14 small nucleolar RNA (U14 snoRNA) is required for early cleavages of eukaryotic precursor rRNAs.
Source: Ensembl